AGGGCCGAGCGUUGUCCGGAAUUAUUGGGCGAAAAGAGCUCGUAGGCGGCGUGUCGCGUCUGCUGUGAAAGACCGGGGCUUAACUCCGGUUCUGCAGUGGAUACGGGCAUGCUAGAGGUAGGUAGGGGAGACUGGAAUUCCUGGUGUAGCGGUGAAAUGCGCAGAUAUCAGGAGGAACACCGGUGGCGAAGGCGGCUCUGGGCCUUACCUGACGCUGAGGAGCGAAAGCAUGGGGAGCGAACAGGAUUAGAUACCCUGGUAGUCCAUGCCGUAAACGUUGGGCGCUAGGUGUGGGGACUUUCCACGGUUUCCGCGCCGUAGCUAACGCAUUAAGCGCCCCGCCUGGGGAGUACGGCCGCAAGGCUAAAACUCAAAGGAAUUGACGGGGCCCGCACAAGCGGCGAGCAUGUGGCCUAAUUCGACGCACGACGAAGAACCUACCAGGGCAU
This 449-nucleotide ribosomal RNA is filed under the name Nocardiopsis sp. NIOT-BARREN 26. RNAcentral describes it as "bacterial SSU rRNA". It matches the Rfam family "Bacterial small subunit ribosomal RNA", at positions 530 to 982 of the family's 1533-position model. The record is from RNAcentral. Lineage: Bacteria; Bacillati; Actinomycetota; Actinomycetes; Streptosporangiales; Nocardiopsidaceae.